RNAcentral lists this long non-coding RNA (4697 nucleotides) under Homo sapiens (human). Its description in RNAcentral is "HSALNT0028959". The record is from RNAcentral. Lineage: Eukaryota; Metazoa; Chordata; Mammalia; Primates; Hominidae.
CUACCUUGGCCUCCCAAAGUGUUGGGAUUACAGGUGUGAGCCACUGCACCUGGCCGGUCUCUGUCUUUUAGAACCUUAUGGUGAUGGAACACAGAGCAGGCACUUGCUGGCUAUUAGCUGACUGCCCAAAUGAAUGCACUAUCAGACACUGCAGGAAAAAGGAUAAAGAGAACACUUUCAAGUUUCUCUUUCUUCAGUUCUUUGCUACUCAUCUACUCUGUCUUUUAAUGGGCCUCUUCCACUUCCUCCUUCUGUGCCUCACCAUGGGUCACUGUGGUCAGGGAGACUCAGCUCUUUGGCCUAGUAUGUAAAUCUAAAAGCUGUGCAAUGGUUCUAUUUAAAUUGGAACAAUUCAUGCAGCCAGUCUUUACUGAACAUGUACGUGCCUAGGAAGUCUCAGGAAUGGGUAAGUGCUCCUGCUCCCACACAGUCUACAGACCUGGGUGCAAUGGUGAGAAAGACCUCAGUAAAGCAAAGGAAUUACGAAAGGGAGAGGAUAGAAGAUAAAGUACAUAAUAGUUUCCUGAAGCAGCAGAAUGAAAGAACUCUCUGUGGCAUGAAAAUUUACUGUGAGAUGUAUUUUAAUUUAUGAGUAUCUCAGACCAUGUGGCUUGAUUGUCCAUCUGACUAACUGCUUCCGACUAUUUUAUGAGAGAAUUAAAUGCUAGCAUACUGAACAUCAAUAAAAGCAGACAACCCCUUUUAAAUUAAAAUUAGGAUUUUCUUUUCUUUUUUUUUUUUCUUGCUCUGUUGCCCAGGCUGGGGUGCAGUGGUGUGAUCUCGGCUCACUGCAACCUCCACCUCCUGGGUUCAAGCGAUUCUCCUGUCUCAGCCUCCCAAGUAGCUGGGAUUACAGGCGCGCACCACCACGCUCAGGUAACUUUUGUAUUUUUGGUAGAGAUGGGGCUUCACCACUUUGGCCAGGCUGGUCUCAAACUCCUGACCUCAGGUGAUCCACCCACCUUGGCCUUCCAAAGUGCUGGGAUUGCAGGUGUGAGUCACUGUACCUGGCCUAAAAUUAGGAUUCUAAAGGGUACUUUUAUGGGUUGAUGAAUAUAUAUUUCUAAUAGUAGGAAAACACUGAAAUUUUAACAGAAGUCAGUAAUUCCUGUGUAUGACCUUUCAGGUAUGCAUAUAAUACAAAAAUUAAGAUUACGUGGUAAUUCUUUUAGGAAGCUGGACACUAAAGGCAUGAGAUUUUCGACUGUGAAUUCUAGCCAAUGGAUAGAAAGGCAACAUUCCUAGAUUUGUGUUUGCAAAUUCUUCCUCCCAGUCUGAACAGCCUUAGCCUGUCAGACGGGUAAAUGAUAUUUAAGAACCUGGCAGGGGAUCCUACAGGGGCAGCAGUGUCCUGCUUAUUUUUCUGAAAUUACUGCUGCAAAUAUAAAGAAACUCAGGGUUUGGGAUCAGAGUUGCGGGCAUUAGCUCGUUCUGCUUAGCCCUUGAAUACAAGCAUCAGCGGUACACUAGAAGGCCACAGUGGCAUGCAUGGGGCUUGGGGUCAGUAGUUCUGGGGAUCACUAAGACAAUCCAACUGAAAGGCAAUGGUACAAGGUUACUUAGGGGAGAUACACUCUGGCUUCCCUGCAGUUUACAUAAACCUUUUGCCUUUUACAAAAAUCACACUGGGGCACUGGGACUUUCCCAUCUAUGCUUGGGUAAUAUUUGAGAACAUCUUUCUGAAAAGGGAGAUGUGACACAGGGAAGAGGUGAGUGGAUCCCCUAUUUUUUUUUUUUUUGAGACUGAGUCUUACUCUCUGACCCUGGCUGGAGUGCAGUGGUGUAAUCUCUGCUCACUGCAGCCUCCACCUCCUGGGCUUAAGCGAUCCUCCCACCUCAGCCUCCUGAGUAGCUGGGAUUAUAGGCACGUGCCACCGUGCCCGGCUAAUUUUUGUGUUUUUAGUAGAGAUGGGGUUUUGCCAUGUCAGCCAGGCUGAACUCCUGGCCUCAAGUGAUCCACCCAUCUUGGCCUCCCAAAGUGCUGGUAUUACAGGUGUUAGCCACUGCGCCCGACUGGAUACCCUAUUAUCUCCCAUCCCACAGGUGUACUAACUCCAUGGCAGCAGGGCUUUUAAAGCCCCACGAGGCUGCAGAUGUUACACAGGCCAUGUAUGUUUAAGUACAUCCCUGCUGUUUAGAUGAGGGGCUAGGUUGCUUAGCUGGGUAUCUGACAACUAUUAAGAGGGAUUUAGGCCACAUUUUUACAUAAGAUUUUCUUUAAAUAAGACCCAUUUAGACAUAAAAUAUUUCUGAGGAAAAAUCCUGCUAACAGGGUUAAUGUAGAAACAUAUCUAUGCAAAACAACCCAAAUACUCAGGGCCAAAGCUAGGGGGAAAAAACAACAACCACCACCACCACCAACACCACCAACAACUCAGCUCAUAACAAAACAGUAAUUGUCUUGAGCAAGUCAAAAUUCAGUUUAAAACACAAAUGCUACAUUUAUCCAAGUUGCUAAUGCCCACUAGCUUCAUUACUAAGAGACUGACUUAGAAUGCAGAAGUUGGAGAAAGUCUCUAAACUGAUAUUCUCCUGGGCUACCACUCCUGGGGUUAAGAUCCUUGUCACUUCGGGCCUGGAGGAUGAAAUUAGUCUCCUAUUAUCCUUUAGUUUCUUCCCACUCUAACUUGCCCUGCGCAUUUUCCUAAACUGUUAUUUUUAAAACCUCCAAUGACUCCACUUUAUCACAAGAUUAAAUUCACUCCUGUCAUCUGGCUUUGGGGGCACUCCACACUUUGUGAUUUUCUCUGGCUGUUAACUCGAUAUCAUACUACAAAAUGCAGGGAGUUCUCAGCAUCGCUGGGCAGGACCUGAGAAAGUAAUAGCAGGAGCAAGUAUCCUGGUAUUGCUGCUAUGUAACCAGGUAGAUAUUUCUGUUCGAUGCCAAUAAAAUUGUCCAGGGGGAGGGCAUUCAAAUGCCAACCAUGCCUUUCUUUGCUCAGGGGUACAGGGGUUGUAAUAUAACUUUCAACAACAAUAGAUAGACUUCAUAUGCCUGUAGUCCUAGCCACUCAGGAGGCUGAGGAAGGAGGAUCCCUUGGACCCAGCUCAAGCAAGGUUACAGUGAGCUAUGAUCACGCCACAAGAUAGACCUGACUUAUUAUGCAUGUAUUUAGUUCCCCAGUAUCCCAAACCUACAGCUAAUAUGCUAUCUUACUCUUAAUAUAGUGAAGUUACUGAUUAGAAUGGUUUAAUUAGGUUGGUUUGUGUGAUGGUUAUUUUUAUGUGUCAACUUUACCAGAUUAAAGGAUAGUCAGAUAGCUGGUAAAACAUAAUUUCUGGGUGUGUCUGUGAGGGUGUUUCCAAAAGAGAUUGGCAUUUGAAUCAUUAGACUGAAAAAAGAUCUGCCUUCACCAACAUGAGCAGCAUCAUCCAAUCCACUGAGGACUUGGAUAGAAGAAAUCGCUUGGGUGUAGCUCUAGUUUGUACAAUUUAAUUAUUAUACAAUUUCAUGGUAUAAAUAGGCUAUAACUUCAUAAUCCAUUCUACUGCUGAUGAUCAUUUGGAUUAGUUCCAAUGUUUGACUGUUGUGAAUAGUCAAUGCCCUCAGACAUGUGAGCUCCCCAGGUUCUUGGGCCUUUGGACUCUGGGACUUAAACCAGCAACCCAACACCACCCAUCUCCCAACCCACCUCCCAGAUUCGGAAUCACACCGUCAGUUCUCCUGGUUCUCAACCCUUCAGAGACAGACUGAAUUACACCACCAGCUUUCUUGGUUCUCCAGGAUGCAGAUGGCAUUAACAUGAGACUCCUUUACCUCCAUGACUGUGUGAGACAAUUUCCAUAAUAAAUCCCCUCUUAGAUAUCUUUAUAUACAUUCUACUGGUCCAAUUUUUCUGCAGAACCCUAAUACAGUUGUCUCUGUACUACUUAUUGAAAUAGGACACUUAAUAUUUGUUAAGUAUUUAAGUGGAAUAUUUGAAAACUUGUCUUAACAGAAACUUUAAGGCCAGGAGCAAUGGCUCAUGCCUGUAAUCCCAGCAAUUUGGGAGGCUGAAGUGGGUGGAUCACCUGAGGUCAGGAGUUUGAGACCAGCCUGGCCAACAUGGCAAAACCCCAUCUCUACCAAAAAUACAAAAAAAUUAGCUGGGCGUGGUGGUGGGCGCCUGUAAUCCCAGCUACUCGGGAGGCUGAGGCAGGAGAAUCACUUGAACCUGGGAGGCGGAGGUUCCAGUGAGCCAACAUUGUGCCACUGCACUCCAGCCUGGGUGACACAGCGAGACUCCAUCUCAAAACACACACACACACACACACACACACACACACACACACACACACUACUUUAAGUAGUUGAGAAAUAUUAUUCAUUUUUACAUAGCUAAUAUCCUAUUUAUAAACAUUCUUAUUUAUUCAUAAAAGCAACUGCUCGAGACAUUAUCCUAUUUCCAGUUACUAAUUUUUUAAUAAUCUGGCUUUGCACUAAUUUAGAUGACUUUUAUACCCAAUUAGGCUAAAUUUAUCUGAAAACUGAUUCUAGGCUAAAGUCAAGCCUUUGGCCUCAUCCUAUUCUGACAUCACAGGGAGGCAGCAGCUGAGGCUGUGGUGGGAGAAGAAUGACAAGAACUGAGCGUGGGCCACGGGCUCUUACCUUCAGCAACUUCAUCAGCUCUUCCAGCUGGACCAUCAGCUCCCGCCUGCUCUCCUGCAGGGCCGACAUCCUCUGCUCCAGUUCAUCCUUCCUUUGCCUAUCCAAGACG